CUUCAGGUAUGGAUGCUUACAUAGCUUCUUCUCACAAACCCUGGGUACUAGAUUCUGGAGCCUCAUCUCAUAUGACAGGACCUAGCAACUGGGAUGAAGAUUGGUUCGGGGCAUGAGAGAGGAGGUAUGUACUAUUUGGACGACAGUGUGCCAGAAGCUGGCCUUAUUGCAUCACAGUCUGACUCCACUUUAUUGUGGCACUGGCGUCUGGGUCAUCCUUCACUAUAAAAACU
This is a long non-coding RNA of Asparagus officinalis (garden asparagus), 233 nucleotides long. RefSeq lists it as uncharacterized. The transcript has 3 exons. The record is from RefSeq and is a predicted model, not a curated record. NCBI's taxonomy places the organism in Eukaryota, Viridiplantae, Streptophyta, Magnoliopsida, Asparagales, Asparagaceae.